RNAcentral lists this unclassified non-coding RNA (395 nucleotides) under soil metagenome. Its description in RNAcentral is "partial contains 5.8S ribosomal RNA, internal transcribed spacer 2, and large subunit ribosomal RNA". The stretch from base 1 to 122 matches the Rfam family "5.8S ribosomal RNA", at positions 35 to 154 of the family's 154-position model. The record is from RNAcentral.
GAUGAAGAACGCAGCGAAAUGCGAUACUUGGUGUGAAUUGCAGAAUCCCGUGAACCAUCGAGUCUUUGAACGCAAGUUGCGCCCGAAGCCAUCAGGUUGAGGGCACGUCUGCCUGGGCGUCACACAUCGUUGCCCAAUGCCUAUUGCAGUGCAAUAGGAAUUUCUAGGGCGAAUGAUGGCUUCCCGUGAGCGUUGUUGCCUCGCGGUUGGUUGAAAAUCGAGUCCUUGGUAGGGUGUGCCAUGGUAGAUGGUGGUCGAGUUAGAACGAUACCGAUCAUGUGCAUGCUCCCCAAAAUAUGGCCUCUAUGACCCACACGCGUCUUUUGACGCUCAUGACGAGACCUCAGGUCAGGCGGGGCUACCCGCUGAAUUUAAGCAUAUCAAUAAGCGGAGGA